This 492-nucleotide ribosomal RNA is filed under the name uncultured bacterium. RNAcentral's name for it is "partial 16S ribosomal RNA". It matches the Rfam family "Bacterial small subunit ribosomal RNA", at positions 29 to 507 of the family's 1533-position model. The record is from RNAcentral.
AGUGAACGCUGGCGGUAGGCCUAACACAUGCAAGUCGAACGGCAGCACAGUAAGAGCUUGCUCUUACGGGUGGCGAGUGGCGGACGGGUGCGGAAUACAUCGGAAUCUACUUUUUCGUGGGGGAUAACGUAGGGAAACUUACGCUAAUACCGCAUACGACCUACGGGUGAAAGCAGGGGAUCUUCGGACCUUGCGCGAUUGAAUGCGCCGAUGUCGGAUUAGCUAGUUGGCGGGGUAAAGGCCCACCAAGGCGACGAUCCGUAGCUGGUCUGAGAGGAUGAUCAGCCACACUGGAACUGAGACACGGUCCAGACUCCUACGGGAGGCAGCAGUGGGGAGUAUUGGACAAUGGGCGCAAGCCUGAUCCAGCCAUACCGCGUGGGUGAAGAAGGCCUUCGGGUUUUAAAGCCCUUUUGUUGGGAAAGAAAAGCAGCAGGUUAAUACCCCGCUGUUCUGACGGUACCCAAAGAAUAAGCACCGGCUAACUUCGUG